CAGAAGGCAGAAGUGAAAGAGAGGGUGGAGAUUGCAUGAGAUGAACCUAUGGGCACACUGACGAAGUCACGACUGAUUGUGUGUUUUAAUGUGAGCAAGUGUGGCAGCACUUAUGUUAGUUGGAUUUGUGAUUAAACGCUUAGAAAUGAAGCUCUCCUGCCCUCUGAUCUGUGGGAUCAUUUUGUCCUGGAUUUGCUUCAGAGUUUCAAGUGAGAAUCUGUCUGUGAUUCAGAGUCCAUCCAGUGUGUGUGUUUAUGCUUUUCUCACAGUUUCAAGUGAGAAUCUGUCUGUGACUCAGAUUCCACCCAACAUCACUGUGAAUGAAGGAGAAUCUGCUCAAAUCAGCUGCUGCUGGAAUGAAACCAUACAGAAUGUUAAAGUUGCUUGGUACAUCAAUGAGAAAAAACAAAAGCAGGAUCUCCAAGAACAUAAAACACAGAACUGUGCAAUUCUGAACCUCACAAACAUACUUAAAAAUGCUUCAGGUCAUUAUGUUUGUGAAGUGACUCAAGACAUACCAGUCCUGCUUCAGGAGAAUGGUAGUGGAACAGUCAUAACUGUCAAUUACAUACUAGUAGAAACAACAACAACUGUCAGUGUUCACACACUUUUCAACCCAGCAGCUGGUAGUUCGCGGGAGGUUGUGAUCAUAUAUAUUUUCAGAAGUCUGCCCUUCAUCUGUCUGCUGGUGGUGUUCUUUUACCUAAACAGGGACAAAAAACAAGUCACAGCAUCAAGACCAGAAAGUCAGGAGUCAGGAGAAAAAACGGAUGAAGACCUGGAGGCCGGAGAGACACAGAGGAGUGAAACUGAAGUAGCGAAACAGGGUGAGAAUGUUUCUGAACAGGAGAAAAGGAGGGUCAACAACCAGAAACCUGAAGUUACUACUGCAGCAACAGAAGAAGAAAAAGAAAAUGAAGAAAAACAGAUUGAUGUAGUUGUAGACACUGAACAAGGUACAUCUCCAAUGCGUGACGAUGAAAAAAACAAGACUGAAUCUGUUCUGAACACUGAUGAAAAGACAUCUAAUGACUGAUGCUGAAGAAGUGACUGUUUCUGUGCUGGGCGGCUUUGUUUCAGCUCUGUGAGACAUACAGGAAAUGGAGUUAUGGGUGUGUUGUUCAGGUCUAUGAUGCCACUUCCUGCAUAAUUGCUUGUUUGCAGACUCAUAAUGGUUUGCAAUGAUUUACACUGAAUCCUGAAAGUAGGUGAAAUAUAGUAUGUCUUGUGCAUGCAUGAAUCUUUCUGUUGGAUUGUGUGUAUUGUGGGAUUGUGUAUAUGGUUGUUUUUCAGUGUGUCUUGGGUGAAUCGAAUGUGAGAUCAGUGUUGUGGUUUACUGUGGGCUUCACUGUGAUAAAAUUAGUUGCGUGGGGAGGGGGUGAAAUUCUGAGAGUACGAGUGUCUCAUGCGUGUGAAAGGUUAUUAUGUGGGAGUAAAGCAGAGUUCAGAUUCUCUGCAGAUGCUCAGAAAUGAAGUGUUCCUCCAGACUCCUGUGUGGGCUCCUCGUGUCAUGCCUUUAUUUCAGAGGUAAGUGCCACUUGAAACUCCUUCCUGAGUGAAAACCCAGCACAGAUGCUCCAGGAUACUGUUCUGUAUAGUACAAAAUAAAAUAAAUCAACUGUCUGUAGAGCUGUGCGAG
Long non-coding RNA from Cyprinus carpio (common carp), 1639 nucleotides. The record is from Ensembl. Lineage: Eukaryota; Metazoa; Chordata; Actinopteri; Cypriniformes; Cyprinidae.